GAAGCCUCUACAGUGGCGGCGUGGGCGC
This 28-nucleotide small RNA is filed under the name Bombyx mori (domestic silkworm). RNAcentral describes it as "ovarian small RNA-15238". Lineage: Eukaryota; Metazoa; Arthropoda; Insecta; Lepidoptera; Bombycidae. The record is from RNAcentral.